UACGGGGGGGGCAAGCGUUGUUCGGAAUUACUGGGCGUAAAGGGCUCGUAGGCGGCCAACUAAGUCAUACGUGAAAUCCCUCAGCUUAACUGGGGAACUGCGUGUGAUACUGGAUGGCUUGGAUUUGGGAGAGGGAUGCGGAAUUCCUGGUGUAGCGGUGGAAUGCGCAGAUAUCAGGAGGAACACCGGUGGCGAAGGCGGGUCUCUGGGCAGUAACUGACGCUGAGGAGCGAAAGCGUGGGGAGCGAACAGG
This 253-nucleotide ribosomal RNA is filed under the name uncultured bacterium. RNAcentral describes it as "partial 16S ribosomal RNA". It matches the Rfam family "Bacterial small subunit ribosomal RNA", at positions 524 to 776 of the family's 1533-position model. The record is from RNAcentral.